Brienomyrus brachyistius is the source of this 7523-nucleotide long non-coding RNA. RefSeq lists it as uncharacterized. Lineage: Eukaryota; Metazoa; Chordata; Actinopteri; Osteoglossiformes; Mormyridae. The record is from RefSeq and is a predicted model, not a curated record. The transcript is spliced from 3 exons.
UCACAUGCAUCAAACAAGGGCAAAGGUCGUGAGAAAGGAGGGCUGGUAUAUGAUAGCCAAUCCUGUCAAAGAUAAAUUUGCAAGGGGGGUUUUUAACAAGAAUAUAAAAGGGCACUUUUUCUUGUAUGGUGCGCAAGUGCCCAGUAUUGGAGGAGCACGCUGUCGGGCUAAUCAGCAUCAUCUCCGUGAUAAAGAAGAUUUUACCUUUUACCACCUUUGAGUAACAGAUUUAGUUAUUUUUCUGUCUGGAUCUGAGGUACAGAAGGGAAAUUGGGAGCCUUUUUUGUCUUCCACAACUGGAAGCAAAAAUUUCUUUAUAAUAGUGGUGUUUCCCAAAACAAUCAUUAAUGUGAAUUAUUUAACUUGUGAUUACUGUAAUAGGAUUGAUAAAGCAAAUGUGAUGCCUUGUUGGGGUUCAGUGUGGUUCUGGGUUUUCUGGAAAAGCCAGAGUGGCAUCCCUGCAAAGAUCGAUGCAAGUGGACACUGUAGCAGAAUCUGCAAAUAAGUGGCAAAAGACCCGAGGGUGACAGCUGAGGAUGUUCAGGCAUCUCGUGCAGAUUCACCUCCACAGAGGAACCAGUGCUCACUAAAAGCAUCCCUGCUUGCUAGAAGACACCCAUGUGCUCCGCAGCAGCACUGCAAUGAUGUUCUUCAGAAAGACGGGGCAGAGGCUGAGCUUUUUGAUGGGCUCAGCGCGCUUGGGAAGCUCCUCUGCGUGACGGUAUCAUAUGAAGGUCACAGAUGAGUGACGAGGCCGAGUGACUGGGUGCUACAGGCCGAUGAGGAACAUCGUUAUCCUGGGGCUCCUCGUCAAUGAGGAGCUAAGUUGCAGGGCCAACUCUGCGAGGAGCCUCCGUUCACUUUACAUGCCGACACACACGAACCAGUACAUCAGAAUACUGUCAGUUUAUGGCCAUACAUUUUUCAUUUUUAAUAUUGAUUUCCCAUUAUCGUGCUCCAGUUCCAAUAACCCCUCGGCCUGGCGUUUGCAGUCAUCUUGAUCCUGUGCUCUGUAAUUUCUGUCCAUAAUUCUUGUACACAGCUGUGCCCGCUCUCCAGGCCUGUUCAUCACGCAUCAUGCUAUUCAUUUUUAAGCCAGACAACAUAUAGAGAAAGUCAUGGGCUGAAUUAUUAACAUCAUUUCAGUAAGAGAAUAUGGAAGGCAUCCUCUCCAACCCCACCAAGAGAGUGAAGCCUCCUCUGAUUGACCGUCGAACUCAAAGCAGUGAAAUGGCGAAACCUCCAUAAAUAAGGCAAAUCACACCUCAGGUCAGAUUACGCCAUUCCAUUUUGUGAUGAAUUGGGAUGGUUUGUGGGAAAAUCCGGCGCCCAGCGUGUGGGGCUGCGGUAACCUUGACCUGAGCCCGUGGGGAUCGGGAGAGAGAUGGCAGAUGGGGGGAAGCUAUCGAUCUGGUCUGGUCCCGGUGAGAGACCUGAGGGCUCUGGACAAACCGCACUGCUCACCCUGACUGCUGUAUUCCCAUUCAGGAUGUCACCUCUGAGACAUUAAAAUGUAUUAUCAUAACCAGAGUAUUACGGACUGCCAUCCUGGCCAGGGUGUUCUCCAGUCUUAUGCUCUGGGAUAGGCUCCACCCCCCCUCCCCCAUUAUGACCUUGGCCAGAAUAUGUGAUAGGAAUACGGAUGGGUGACCUCAGUUAGCCGCAGGUAUUUAUGCAGUGAUAUUUUCAUUUGGUUUUUUAUACUCAGCUGCAAUGCUGAAAAAAGCACUGCUUCCAUGCCUGUCAGCUGCCGAGGCAGCUGGUUUGAGGUUUCAAAAUUCAGAAUCUCAGUUCUGGAUUAUUUCCAGGCCCACAAUAUCACAACAUCAACUGCCAGUUUAAUGCACAGGGAUCGUCCCUUUUCACAGGAGUAAGGAGAAAUCAUACAUUUUUUUUUCUUUUUUUUUACAUUUAACUCAUAACACAAACUACUUAAACUAGGGGAACAUUUGUGGAAGUGCCAGAUUCAGUAAAUAUACUGUGUAUUGUGCAAAGGUUAUUUUUUCUGUAUACUGUGAGAAAGUUAUUUUUUCAGUGAAUAUGGCACAUUUUAAAUUUUAACGAUUCAGACAAGAUAUGGAAGUUUGCUUGGCUUUAAAUUAUGUAAAAAAUUCAUGGACUCCAAAGUGCAGUAUUCACAGACCAUAACUGAAUUCAAAUCAAUCCAAGGCCUCCUGUGAAGAACUGAACUGCAGCCCAGUGACAUGAAAACAAAAAUAGAUAAAAACAUAGAAAUUACACAAAUCAGCUAUAAAGCAUAAUAUCAGAUAGCUUUGUAACAAACUGUGACAAAUGUAACAAAUUGCCUGAAUGAUAUGGGCCAGGUCCAGUGGCUCAGACUUGCCAGAGCGUGAAUUGUGCCAGGGACUGAUUGUGAGUCUCUCAACAGUUAAAUUCAAUGAAGUGUUGACAUGUUAUUGAAUUCAAUUUUACACUGAAUAUUUGCUAAAUGGGUGUCACACUUACAGGGUGGGGAUUUGACUGGUACCUGUGUUCUGUGUGUACAGUUUGCAUGAUCCGCAUUGGAUUCCUCCAGCUGUUAUUGUGUGUGUUUCUAUGUGUGUGUGUGUGUGUGAGCGGGUAUACCUAUCCUUAUGGGGACACAAUGUCCCCAUAAUGUGAUAAAUAUCCGUUUUCUUUCCCUUAUGGGAAACUGGUCCCCAUAAGGGAAAACUCUAUUUUAUAAAAAACAGUGACCGCUAUGAAAAAACUAAAAUACAAAAACUCUUGCAUUUUGCUUGGUUACUUAUGGUUGUGGUUAGGGCAGGGUGGGGGUUAAGGUUGUCAUAGUUAGCGUUAGUAUUUUUCCCAUAGAAGUGAAUCAGCGGGCCCCACAAGGAUAGGUAUACUCUACAUGUGUGUGUGUGUGUGUGUGUGUGUGUUCAUGUAUGCUGUGAGAUGGAAUAAUGUAUCUGUCUGUGAAACAGCAUUUUAAUAUUAGCAAGCCAAAGAUCAUUCUCACACUACCCAGGUAAAAAGCUUAUUCACUGUCUACAUCUUUAACUGCCUCUUAAGCCUUUUGCUUAGUACCACAGUUUGAAGAGCCAUGGCAAAAUAAAAAUAUCACGUUGUGGCUUUGUGCUGGUCUGUCGGUGCCUCUGUGCUUUUAAAUAUAUGCCAAGAUGGUCUUCUGACUACGCUUCAUCUUGUGUAUAGUCAUGAUCUGUCUUCUGCUGUAUUUUGGAUUUCAUUCUCCUCUAUCUCUCUGCAGGGGGUUAGAAAACACAUUUAGCCUAUCAUGGAGGCAGGUCAUCACUUCCCACUCUGUUUUCCCUGAGCUGGACUCGUGUUUUGGGUGUUAAGAGUGUUCGCUACGUGCUGCUAUGAAUAUUUACAUGCUUUGCUGACAGAGUUGGGUAAUUCAGAUCUGAAGAGUAAAAGUCCAGACCGGGAUUUUGUUUCAACCAGCCAAUUGAGUACAGUUAUGACUGUGGCUCUUUAUGCUCAACUGCUUGGUUGAAACAAAAUGUUGGUCUAGACUUUUACUCUCUGGACCUGAUUUACCCAACUCUGUUCACUGCAAGUAUUCCAUUCAGCGUGGUUCUUCUUUAUGAAUCUCUGCAGGUCCUCGGUUAAAAAUGUCCAGCCUGUUCUGGCACUUUCUAUGGAGCAAUCAGCCUACUGGAGGCCCCUGAAUCUGACCAAUUGUGGCCUCUCCUGAACCGAUCACGAAACACAGCACUGCCCUCUUCAAAGAGGCAAAGUUCUGGCGGCUUUCUGCUGCUGAACGGAGACGAUAAACAGCAUCGCUUCAUCGGAUUACGCGCUUACGAAGACAUGUCUGUUACGAUGAUAAACUCAAUAACCGAGCCGACUGCUCAGUGUAAUGACAUUUAUGGAUGCACUGGUCGCAGGAAUCCUUCGGUGGAGGCAGAGACAGAUGAUUAAGAUGAAGCUGCAGCCAGAGAGAGAUCUGCCUCCUACAGGGUCCAUUCUGUGAAGAGACAGGCUCCUUCUUCACACAGUUCUUCAGCAUGAUAUCAGAGAUAUACCCCCCCCUCCUGCCCCCCCUUUCUGAGGAUUUGUUUGGAUGGUGGUUGUCAUGACGAUAUUCGGCAUGGUACUGUCCGGUGAGGGUAAUGCUGAUGCUUUUGGUUUACGUGGGUGCUGCUCAUCCCACAUCGCUAACCAUGAACACGAACGGCUGUUAUUAAUAACCUGGCAAAGGGAGAAAGCUGCCCGCAGAUUUUAAAAGUGCAAUUAUUGUCUGCUCGUUGUUUCACAUAGAAGCACAAAAAAAACUGUUAAAGUCAAUUUCUCAGCUCAGGUUGUUUCAAACAAUAAAAUUAAAUAUACAAUGUGUAAGAUGGGGGUGGUGUGGUGUUGUCGAAAGGGUUUCUUCCCCAGAGUCCAAAUAGAUGCUGAGGCUAAUUGGUGUUGCCAGUAGGUGUGCAUGUGUGAGUGCAAAGUGUGUGUGAGGGCACCCCAUCCUGGGUUGUUUCCUGCCUUGUGCCCAUAGCCUCCGGAUCCCCAUGACCCUAAACUGGAUGGAUGGAUGGAUGGAUGUGUGAUGUCUUGCUGAAUUUGCAAUUAAAAAUGUGGGAAAGAAAAUGAAUGAAAUAACAUUUUCUGUUCCCCUUCCCCCUUUAUCUGUAGCUACAAGGGCUCCCUGAACAGGAAGCCAAUCCGUCACAAACUUAGGGCAACAUCUAGAGGAAUGGUACCAGGAAUCCAAAAGGAAACCUGGGACCGGAACUCACAUUCUGGACAUCAGAGGGCACUCGCACUCAUCACAAACUCUGUGGUGCCCGCUGAAGGGCAGUGAGUGGACCAUUCAGGCCCCCUGAGGCAGCAGGCUCUGCUCAGCAUAGCCUACCCAUGAAUCCGAGAGUCUGUUUCAUUUCAUAUUUUCUUCAGUACUUCAGUUGUUUUUCUACCACUAUUUAUAGACUAUUUAUAUUUAUAGACUGGUAGCUCACAUAUCUUCAUCUUAGUGCUGCUUGAACUACUGGGACAUAUAUGAUUAAACAAGCAUUUUUACAACCAGUUCUACUGAAGCUGUGUUAUUUGUACACAAUAAUGGCAUUUUUUUCUGGUUUAAUAUAUGAGAUGCACCAGACUUCUGACAGUAGAUUUUAUAGGGUAGGCCAAUUAAUCCACAAAGACCACAUCAACUGUAUUUUAUGGUGUGACGUACCAAUUACAGAUCAGUAGUAGAAACUCAUUUAUUUGCUCCACGUCAAACAGGAUUGGUUGGCAUGUAUGCAGACCCAAUGAAACUAGAGUGAUUCAUCUGCAGAUUUUUCGGUUGAGGAGUGUAUCGCAUACAGAGAAAGCAGUGGUGGCAGUGGUUUCUUUUUUGAGGAACAUCUCUAGACUGUCAUGUUCUACGUCAGAGACGGGGGAGAUUAGAGGGUGUGCAUCUCGGCCAGAUCCACACUGUUUGAGUAGGUGUAGCCCACCUCGUUUUCUGGAGAUGUUUCUGGAGAGCCCGGUGACAGUAGGAAGAGCACGCUUCUCCUCCCGCCUGCAGUAUCUGUCCCCAGGACCGCUGAAGCACUUCUGCACCUUUUACAGACAGUGACUCAAUACCUCAUGCUCAGUUCGGUCAGAUUCAAAUAAAAUGGAUAUAUAAAAUAAGCCUCCGCGUGAUGUGUUUCAGUGAACAGAAUAUUGAUUCUACACAUCAUUUCACACAAGCCGUAUCUCCUUCACAUUUUUCCAUGCCUUUACAGUAAAUUGCACUUGAAUUCCUCUGAAAACAUUUCUCAAAUGAACUAAAGAAGAAUCAUAGUAACAGAGGAAUGAGCCUUUGUUUUACAUGCCUCUGUUUUAGAUCUUUUUCGGAGGAACUCUUCCUGCAGGCAGCUUUCCAAUAGCUGCUGUUAUUAGUCACCCCAGUGCUUGUGAGGAGCAUUUUCUGUAAUGAAAUCUGAAAUUCCCCCACGUUGACUUUUCCACUGGAAAUGGAUUCACUGCUGGACGGGGAUUGGCUCGGCUUGGAAGGAAUGCUAAUCAUAGCCAUUGCUAAUCGUCACCGCUUCCAUAAUGGGCGAGAAGAGGGUUCGCUUGUAUCUGGCAGGACAUUGUUUAGCUGCAGAUCUCCAUGGAUGGCUGCUGGUGCCUCCCCAGUUUCCCGAGCUCCUGCACUGUUACCCUCAUCCCUUCCUUGAAACAGUAACCCAACAAUGAGUCCCAGUCUUACUUCCUGCCCAUUACAGUGAAACCUUGGGGUAAUGGGUAGCUUCCUGUCACAUGACCUCCUCCUCUCUGCAUGCAUCCUGAGCUGCCUGGUCAUCACGGUGACAUCGAAUGGCGUCUGUCUUUUUUUCCAGUGCCUGCCUCGCUUCCCGGUUUUGGGGUUGUAGGUUUUUCUAAAGCAUGUCAUUCCCAAACCUUGACCUCCUUCAACAUCUUCGUUGCCGUGUUAGUGGGGGGAUGAUGGACGGAGUCUGCUUGGCAGAAGGCAUUUAUUGGUGAUGGAGGGCUUAAACCGCUUCCAUCCUUCAGAGACUUGAAUUCUUGCAUUCCAGUCUCAUCAUCUGGGGCUGCAAUGGCACAUUUUUGUCAUUUUUAUCCGUUUUGGAAGCAGGUGCGGCCAGUCCAUUUUGUCUGAUUCAAUGCUCUGCAUUGCUGAAAAUAAACCUAGAAGGAUGAAUCACUUGUAGAAGCUAGUAGGGUUUGCUGGGCAAAGCUACAGGCCCAUCGAUCUAUUAUCGAGCACAUGGUUGAGCCCGAACCCCAGGCCCCAUCACAGCUGGUGUGCUCAUUGAAAUGACUUGGGAUGCAUUCAUUGGCUCACCACCAUUUAACCUUUGACCCUAGCUCAUACUCCUCAGGCCAUGGAAAAUCCAUGAAGACUGGAUCUGAGCAGGGAUUCAUUUGUUUAUUCAUUUAUGUAUUUUGUUGUUAUGGCAGCAAGGAAGACACAGAUGGCUUAAGUUCUCUUUUUGAAACCUGAGUAUCAAACAGAUCGAUGGAUAGACUCGGCACGCUUUAAGCUUUUCUGCAUCAUUCCGAUCACGGAUCUCGUGCUUAUUAUGUGCGCAGGGGAGGGGGCACUGACCAGAUCCCCUGUGAGAAUGGAGGAAUGGGAGCAGUCCUGUAUGAGAAUCAUAGCUAAUUAUGUAUUAAAUUAGCCAAUUGUCAUGCAGUCUGAUUACAGAAGGCAUUUUCAACAGAUGGAGUCAAAAAGUGCAGAAAGCCUGCUAUACCAUGCUGUAAAUAUUGUGCAUAUUGUAUCCCCUGAAUCGGGCAGGGGGGGUAGGACAGUUGUGUCUAGGCACACCUCAAGAUUCUGUUCCGCCACACCCUGCUGUCUGCAGCGAGCACAGUCCUACGGUGCUGGCUGAGGCGUGCAAAUCAGCGCUCCCGUGUCACGCCGCCUCGCUUGUCCCAAUUACCCUCGGGCGAAUCGCAAUUUGCCCGCUCCAGGCCUCCAGUCCUGGGAAGCGAGGGAAUCACACUCAGUGGGGCGGGAGCUGAUUCCGCAGGGAAAUGAAGUUCCAAUCCGUAGCUUUGCCAGUGGUCCCUCACAUAGAUCAGCCAGACCGGUUUAGCUGCACUCUAGGGUGGAGUGAAAA